Molecule: long non-coding RNA, 8214 nt
Organism: Gambusia affinis (western mosquitofish)
Lineage: Eukaryota; Metazoa; Chordata; Actinopteri; Cyprinodontiformes; Poeciliidae
Exons: 3
Source: RefSeq, a predicted model, not a curated record
CAUGUUGCUGAUUUUCUUUUAGGUGUGAAGUAAGGAUCUCCAUCCUCCAGGAGGUGAUCGGACUGUAACUGCUGCUCCUUCACAUCAGACGGACUCAGGUGGGGAUGUUGGGAAAUCGUAAAAUAUUCCUUUUGUCUGCCUCUUUCAGGAGGUUAUUUGGAAGCUUCCCACUGGGAGGAAACCAAAUGAAGGAAAUCUUGCCGUUCCUUGGAAUGCCUUGAAAUCCCCCAAGGUUCUGGAGUCUGGAGGGGGAUCCCUGGAGCCUUGUGUCCACUUCACAACACAGCAGUUUAAUGCACCAUUCGGUCUGUUUUGGUUGUUAGGACAAUGGUAUGUUAUCGUUGCCAUUAGCAUGAGACGUACUAGUGUGUCUCAUGCUAAUAUGACGCAACAUUAGAUGUUUGGGUUUAAUCCCGCCGACCCAAUGAGAGUCCAUAUUACUUCCUGAAGGGUGUUUCACUUCCUGAACUCAGAGAAGUGAAAGACAGAAGUUUAGUAGAUAAAUAACUUAAUCUUAAUAAACUAAAUGUUGGUAGUUUAAGAAAAUCAAAUAAAAUUGUUGCAAUUAUCAGAUAACUUUAGUAAAAUAUGACUGCAGGAAACCUGAAACUCCAACCAAACGGGUCAGGCAGGUCAUGGUUAUCUGGGUUUCUGAAGGGAAUGUUGCUGCUGUCGUAUCACCGUUUCCUUCACUAUUUCUCUGUUUUUACUUUCAUUUCUUUGAAAGAUAAAGUACAGUUGGAUCUGGAUGAGAUGAUCUGAUUGGCUUGGAUGUUAAAAAUCUCUGCUUGUGUCUUAAAUUUGGUGUAUUAAAUUUUUAGCAAUUAGCUGCAGCUUUAGGCUUUUGCUGUUAGUCAAUCAUUAACAUGGAAAGGUUUAAAACCCUCUCUAGGUCAAAAGGUAUUUCCAUAAUGAGGUACAUCAGUUGCUGUUUGGUUAUGUAAGAUAAUGUGAGCAUGUUAUGUAGCUACCAUGGAUGAAACAUGUUGCCUUUAGCUUUGAUACCUUCCAUUAUUUUAGUCGCUAAUUAAAAUGACAAAUGUUCCACACAAACAAUUGAUUAUCAUAGCUUCUCGGCCUUUUGGCUAAGACAGCGGUCGCCUCCAUUGGGUGGUGAUAGCGGUAGUCUUUGUGUCUUGGCUGUUACCACUGUGUCGAGGUUUAUUAAACUUGUCCCUGGUGGAGAUAUUGACCACUAAAUAGUGGAAGAUAUCUCUUCCUUUUAUUGUAUUUAUUUCUGUUUGGUUUUAAUUAUUUAUUGGUUUUAGUAAGAACUUCUGAAAUAUUUUUGUGACUCAUUGUUUUAUCUACCAAAUACCAGACAAUCUAGCAAAACUAACAAUAACUGUGUCUUGAAACUUAUUUUUCAGUUUACUUCAAAGAACUAUGAACUGUUAAGUGUCUUAAAUGUUUUCAAUUAACUUAUGACAAAAAACAAUACAAUUUAGUGUAAACAUAUUGUUCUUCUUGCUGUUGGGUUUCAGAAUUGUUAUUGUAUAUGGUGGUUAAUGUAUACUGGUUUUAGAUACUCUCCAUAGAAAUGAAUUCAAAUAUUAUGCAUGUUUAAGUUACAUCGUCUGCUUUAUGAUUGCUUUCUUCAACCACAAAAACAAACAAAACAUCUGAUUAAACAAAGUCUGGAAAAGACUUUUUUUUUUUUUCUUGUGGCACCUCGAUUUGAUUCCUUCGCUGGCCAAGCAGAACAGCUAUUGCUCCCUCACUCAGUAAUGAAGACCCCGGGCAGGGUGGAUGGGCCUCGGGGCAAACGUACACAAACACACCAGCAUGCAAACAUGAGGGUAGUGAUGGAGAGAGAGCUCUGAAUAAACAGAGCUCAAAUGUUUGGUUUGGUAACGUGGAGGCAAAAGGGAUGACAAUCAAGGCAUUUUGGAUUUCAUCACCAUUCUAAAUUCGAUGCCGUGUUCUUGAAGCGGUGUGGUAAAGCAGCACUGCUGAAAUUUUAUGGUUGCAUCGUCUAAGAGAAAUCCAAGCGUAUGAUUAGGCCUUGAUAGGUUUGGGUAAGGCCGAAGGGAGACUGUGGGUGGGAUAGGCAGGUUGGUUUCAGGGGAUUUUCUAAUAGGCGUUCCCUUGGUGAAAAGCUUCUUCAACCCACACACGCACACAGUUUCUUCACUGUAAAUGCUCUUUCACCUUUAUCCUUACACUCAUUUGGUGAUUUCUGUGAGUGAUACUGUUUCGUAGAGGAGAAUAGCGGUGGGAAUGGAUUAUGAUUAUAAAAGAUAGGUCGUGCGUUGGCACCACACCUCCGCUGUUCAGCGUUUAUCUGGCAAAGCGCACCCCAGGAGGCUCCUGUGUCCUUUUUGCCCACACUACUGUAGGCAGAAAGGUGAUUUUCUUUUCCUCAUAUUUCUGUCCGUGAUGUAAUAUACUACGAGACAAGAUGAUGCACGAUGCUGCGUUCACGAGAAAUGGAUGGCAUUUGUGGCUUUUUCAUGGAGAAAAUUAAAAAUUUAACUUUGCACAAUCUCCUGUUUUGUGGAUAAUGGAUAAUGUCUGGCACAAGACUUUUGUUGAGUUACCAAACACAUGUCCCCAUCACUUAUUUAGGUUGGACAAAACCCUGGCUAUGGUUUCUAAAUUCAUUAUCUCAAAGCUAAUUUCACAGUUGCCUCAUUCCAAAAGAAUGUUGAAAUAAAUGCUCCCUUUUUGUUUUUGAAAAUUUAUUUUUCGGUUUAUGUUCAUGUUUAACCUCUCUGUUCCAGAUUGAAAAAAAAAGAAAAAAAGAAAAACAAAACAGAAAUAGCACCAGGACUGCACACCAACUUUAGCUACGUUAGCAGCUAAUUGUUAGCCAGCGAUGGUUGUUUCAUGGUAACAGGCAAAUUGUAUGCUGUCUGCCUGCAGGAACCUUUUCUUCUUAUCUACCAGCUACACCCCUCCAACGCCUUACACAAGUAGAGAUGAUAUUUGGCCUUUAUUUGCUGAAUCUGCCACGUAAUCAGAUGACAACAUAAUAACUACUUCCUGCCUUACUUCAAAGUAUGAGUGUCAAUAAUAGAUGCAUUGUCUCAAGCCACCUGUAAAGAGUCUUAGCAGAGGACUAAGCUUGAAUAGACACAGAGGUAUAUAAACACCUUCAUAUACAGAGCUCAUAGUAUUAUACUAAAGUAAAAUAACGACUAGACAAUACUUCUCAAGAGACGGUUUAUGCCUUUCUGGGAAAAGUCAUGCUGUUUUAAUGAUUCCAUGCCACGUGACCUCAGUCCCUCCUUAGUCCACCGUUCUCAACCCAACAAUAUCUUACAUUCAGUUUGCUCCUUCUGCACAGAUUCUGAAUCGCAGUGAUAUUUUUUAUUUUUUUUUACUCUGGUAAAAAAAAAUCCAAGUGUAAAAGUUUGAUAUGGUCAGAUAAUCACCGUCAAUUUGAAAGAAAUAAUAAUAAAAUACCUUUUUUUUGGUCCUUUCUGUCCAUCACAUAAUUAGUUGCACAUUACAGAUAUUUGAUAGCACUUUCUUCAUUAAUAAUUCAUACUUGCUAAAUUCAUAAAACAUCAUCUUGUCCCCAGCAAGUAACAUUUGAUAUUACAUCUAAGGCCCAGAGCAGAGAUGUUUGCCAGAAUCCCAUCAAAUGAAAUUUCUAAAAAUACUGACUAGCAUGUUCUCCCUCAAAGGCUCUCAGUGGCCCUUUAAGAAGGACCGGAGGAGGAGAAGUCCCCUGCUAUCUAUUUUCUUUGGCACCGCAGCUCUUUUCUGAACGCUUUUCAUUUGAUUCCUUGCCUCUGCUUUUUUCUUUUUCUUUUCCCCCUCAUCUCUCUGCUUCUUUUCCAACGCCUGCUCAUGAUGUCAAUUUAAUUCAAUCUAAAGGACAUAAAGCGAGCACCAUCUUUUAAUGUCUUUUGGAAAGGCACUUGUAACACAUUAAAUUUACUUUCACCUUUUCAGCUGGGAUUUUAAGGGGCGAGAAAGAAAGAUCAAUUAUUGGCGGAAUUUGAAGUUUCAUUAAAAUCACUUCUCUCUGCCUGUGUCCUUGCGUCGUUUUAAGUGGGCCAUCUGUCUAAACAUCUCUCAGGGUUCUUUUUCCUUUUUUUCUGAUCAUUUCCUCGCCUUAUUCAUGAACCCUAGGAGUCCAGCUUUGUAGUAGUGUUGGAGCUGGAGCGGCCUCCCCCCGCUGAAUACAGCUCUGGGCCUCAGCCUGCGCAAGACUCCCCCCUCUGCCCACUAAGGCACCCCCCACCAGUACCCCCUUCACCACAAACUAUCCCAAAUAGCCUCCCCUUUCCUUUUGCGUCCCUUCAUAAGGGCCCACAGAAUGUCUGAACUUGCUACACGUAAAUGACCCGCCUCAUUGUGGCCGGUUCUCCUCGCCCUCCGUCUCUCUCGCUCUCUUCCCCUCUUCGCCUCUCUCCGACCCACCUACUGUUUCAGAUCCCCCUGUCUCUUCCCUCCUUCCCUGCUUCUCCUCCUUAUUGCAGAUUUGUAUGCAGGCUGUGACCUAGGUGGCUACAAAGCACAGCAGAUUAUUCUUGAUCAUUCCUCUGCCCCCCAUGAAGCCAGUUAUGAGAAAAGAUCCCUUAAUGAUGCUCUGACUAUUAACAGUGUUUUAUGUCCAAAUGUCUGCCCCAAUCUCCUAACAAACUGGUGCAAUAUAGACACAAGAAACUUGAGGAGUGACUAGACAUACAUAGGCUUUUGUGAUGAAGCUUCUAAUUGGAUAUUAGAGGCUUCACACUGAAUAAAGCAUUCGCUGAUGAUGCACUUUUGUAUUCUUUGACCAAAAGGUCAGAAACCAAAUAAAUUACAUAUAUGAAGAAUUUCUGCAUUUGUGCUCUUGCUGUAGACAUAUGAAAGGCCGAGAUUAGACUUGACUGCUGUCUCCUGUCGCUGUGCCAGUAUUGUGUCUGUAGUGGGUCCAUCCAGGCCCCCACAUCUCCCAUCUCAUCUCGGGUUCAUCCCUCUGUCUGUAGGAAGACAAGUCGUAGUGCCAGUCUGGCUCACAGCCAGUGUGGAAGCUCUGGGUAAGUCCCUGUGCCAAGCUGGGAUUAGACUGAGAUGUUAAUCAUUGGAGAGCAUAUUGGAAAAAAAACAAAAAAAAACAAAACAUCAUUAUACUUUCCAUUUUCAAGGUUUAAAGUUGCAGCAAAACAUGUUCCCUCUUAAGUUCUGCUGAAGCUUCUCCUUUUCCUACACUUCCUACACUUUGAACUUUUCCACAUCAAAGGCUUCUGUCAUUGCAUCUUAGCGAGCUUGUUUUGGAUAGGCAUGGUAAAGUAAUUCUAUGAAUAAUAUACAAGGGUUUGAAAGAUUUUUACAAACUGAAAUUUUUAACUUCUUUGAAGAACCAACUUUUUACUGAAAUUAAAGCUAUGCCAUCUUUUGUCAAUCUCUCUGCUAGUGUUGUGCUUAUAGAGAGCUGCUGAAUAGAUCACGGUCUACUGGAUUGGAUGGAAAGCGUGCUAAAUCUCUUCUCGAUGUUUUAACUUAUUUCAUGUGUGAACUUUUUAAAAAUGCUGUAAUCUGAAAGGUUUACUUAAUUCUAUCAAUGUUUCAAAAAGUGGUUGAAGAAAGGCAUAAUGCUGCCACUAACAUGUGCUGUGUUGAUGUGCUGCCCAACAUCCAGCUUUCCAAGUAGGUCGAAAAGUUCAGUUUAGAGGUCAACUGAUUAGAGCAUCUUCUUCUUCCAAUCAUUUGUUGUGGCUCACACAUGCUUUGAGAUAAACUACAAGCUAGACUUGCUAUGGCCCUCUGUCAGCCAUUGCUUUUUUCAUAACCACUUUUCUACUAAAACCAGAUUUGAGGAAAUCACAACUAACAGUUUCCCUGUUUCCCUGAGGUGUGUGUCUCUGCAGCUCCUCCAGAGUUACUCUAUCCCUCCUGGCUCUCCUUGCUUGUUUGGUCCAUUUCAGUGGAUGCCCAUGUCUUGCUGUGAAAGAGCGUUAUGCAGCCCACAAGUGACCCACAAGUGCCCAAAAUGAAUACAGUGUGCUAAUAGCUGUGAGAAGACACCCUGGGAGCAACCAUGAAAUAUGUGCAAGGACCCGUGACCACUGAGAUAAUAGCCCCUGACCAGACCACGGAUUGUCUGUGCACUCUCUCCUCCACCGCUCUCCCGCUCAGGUUUGGAGUGGCUCAGGUCCAGGACAGAUGGUUUACAGACAAGGCACUAAAUACUAGCCACAGCGGGGCCGGUGCCGGCUAUUUCCUAGCAGGGAGUUUUGUUUGUGGGAGCUUUUUGUGUUCAUCUGCCGAACCACAUCCAGGGCAGAAAGAAGAGAAGAUGGGGGCAGCUCUAAUUAAAGCCCAAGGAAGAGUGUCAUCUGCUGUGAACUCACAACUGGGGGGGGCACAGCAAAUCAAUGGACAGCCAGCACUGUCAUCACCAUCAACAGCUCCCGAUCAGAGCAAUUGGAGGGGAACAAAAAGGAGCGAGAAAGACACUACCGGGGAAGCUGCUACCACCUGUGCAGAGCCUAAGAGAGCUGAGGGGGAGAGAAAGAGGGAGCCGGGCACAGAGAUCCAUGACAAACACAGACCAAAAUUGUGACGCCGUUGUUCAAUCUAUUGUGAAACACUGGAGAUUUAUCGUUUCUUAAUUAGGGUUAGCAAUUUAGCAAUCAUCACCGUGGACAUCUAUUUUGAUAAACAAAGGUGCAAUUCUAUGACCAGAAUGAUCUAAAGACCUUUUAAAAAUAUGGAUUUCUUUAUCUCCCUCUUGCUUUUGCUAUUGAAUCUAGCGGCUACAUAGAGACAGAGUGCCAACGAUAAAUGUUUCUUGCAACAAGAAAAAGUGUUUCCAGCGCAAAUUUAGGGUAUUGACCUCUUCAAGUGGCAUCAGUGCUCUCCUGUCUGUGUGAACUGUGCCUCCGGGCCAGAGAGUUGAGGUGCGCUGGAUCAGAUUCUUACACAAACACGGCCACAUAGACGGCAUGUUCUCGUGGCAUUAGCAUUCCAAAUGUUUUUUCGAGACGAACGUGAAUGCGACUAUUUUUGUCUCAUAACGCGCACUCUCAGAUAGCCCCCUUUUGAAUAAAUGAAUUCUGACAAGGGGGAUCUGCAUACAAAAACACAGCAGGUUUUAAGGCAGCGGCUGGUCGACCAGCGAAGACCUCUGAAGUCCUCUCUGAAUCUCUUCAUUCAUCGCCUGCUCCUUACGGGCCUGCGGCUCUUUAAAUGGCCGCCUGUGUUUGUGCUGUGUUCACACUGGCGGUUAGAGAGGCAGCGAGGCAUACACCAACACAUUAAGUCCUAUGUGUUUGUAGUUGGCACCUGCAAAUCCUUUUACUUGCCUUAAUGUCAUGCAGAAAUGUGUUGAAUUUCAAAUGUGAUCUUAAAGGAACCUUGAGUGUGUUUCUGUGAAGAAAACAGGAAAAAGCAGCGUAUUUGUUUUUGCCUUCAGGCAGGCACAAAUUCAUUGGUCUUUGUGUCAGACAUCCAGACACCUGAACUGAUAGACCAAACUGUUUCUAAGAGCUCUAAACUUUCUACACUUUUGUCUUGCAGGGUCAAAGACAAUUUGAUUUGUGUUUUGUUUUGCUUUCAAGUUCUAGCCAAUCCCAAUGUGCUGAGUUAACCUAAAAACAUGGUUAGAGUGACCAUCGUGUCACACUGAGGCAGCCAAAGAGUGGCCUAAAAAUGACAAUGAGCUAAACUAAAUAUAUAUAUAACACGUUAUGUGUUACAUUUUUUUCAAUUAAGUAUAGACAACAGUCUUAUAAAUUGUCUAAAUUAUAAUGACACCUUUGUUGACAAAUUUAAUAGAAAUAGUAAAAUUCCUACUUAAUAUCCCUUAAAAGAAAUUAUUAAUAGUCCUAUUCUUGUUCUCUUUUGUUAAAACUCUAAGAUAACAUUUUGAAAUUAACACAGCUAAAACCAUGAAUAAAGCUAUAAUACAGUAGCAAGAGAAAUAUAUGUGGAAGAAAAUAUAGUUUCUAAGGCGGACUGUAAUGACUGCAUGAGCAGUUUGGUCAACGUGAUUGUUCAACACAACAAGCACAAAGCUUAUUUUAGCUUCUUCACAUGCAAAACAUGAAGGUCGUCUAGAGUAAAACAAACUGACAAUUGCUUUAUUUGAUCCUCUAAUCAUUUCCUUUUUCACUGUGUGUGGAAGAACACUGAAAUCUGAUCAGGUUGUGGAGCCAGGUUGGUUCUGAUGGUUCCUUUUCUCUGAAACACUGACUUCCUUUAAGUCUCGACUGAAAACCCACUAUAGAGUGGGUUUAGAGUUGUAUUUGAAACAUAGUCAAUUAUGAAUUUAAU